CUUAGCCCUGACUUCAUCAAGGACUACUGAGAAGUCUUGCUGAUGUCUGUUCAAGUACCUUGAGGUGUCCUGCAAAUACAUGCCUGGGAUGUGUGGUAAGGACGCUGACCUGCAGCGUUGUCUGGAGGGGGUCAGUAUGAGUGUCUAGCAGGGCCUGAGUCACCCCGUUCCUCAGGGCCUGGUAGGACGGACCACAGCACAGGAACCGGUCCACCUCUGCUGGAAUCAGCCUCUGAGAAACACAACAUGUGAAAGUAGGACGUGUAAAGGGCCUAUAAAUCUGGUAGUACCUGGAGUCGGAGGACCUCUGAAGGGAAGGCCCAUCCCCAGGAUGAGGAUCUGUGCAUCAGGGCCAGGACACAAUCUAUCCC
Salmo salar (Atlantic salmon) is the source of this 371-nucleotide non-coding RNA. The record is from RefSeq and is a predicted model, not a curated record. NCBI's taxonomy places the organism in Eukaryota, Metazoa, Chordata, Actinopteri, Salmoniformes, Salmonidae.